This 2766-nucleotide long non-coding RNA is filed under the name Marmota monax (woodchuck). The record is from RNAcentral. Lineage: Eukaryota; Metazoa; Chordata; Mammalia; Rodentia; Sciuridae.
UCCACCUUUGCUUUUUGGAGGAGGACAGAGGGUCGUGGGCUGCUGUCACAUGCUGGAGAAGUGGAGGAGGGAGACGCCGUGAGCAUCCUGACCUGGAUGCAGAGCAAGCACGAGGAUGUACCUCUUCUCCUCCCGUGACCAGGAGGGACAGUCCGUCCUGGUGUGCUGGACUCCAGGACUGCCCAGGUGACUGCCAUGUGCAGGGCCACCAAGGACCCACAGCUUGGGGCUUCUUUGAGAGUCACAGUUCUAGGUUCUGAGUCAGGAGACAGCAGGUUUCUUUCAUUGUUGCAUUGUGUGGUUGGGGACAGGCACUGUGUAGUCAGGGACAGGCACUGUGUGGUUGGGGACAGGCACUGUGGCUGAGCUCUGUGGAUGGAUUUGCUGGUGUGCACAGGAGUUCCCAGCCCUCCCGCUGGGUGACAUCAAACACCACACAGCACAGGCAGUCACCUAAGCCAUGUCCUUGUGGAAGGGUGUGCAUACAGGUAAGAACUGCUUUCUGCUUAGGCAGAACAAACGUCCUCCUCCAAGCCAGCCAAGGGCUCAGUGACGGCGGAAGCACUCCAAGCUGGGGAGGGUGCACCUGCGCGGCCGGGCUCUUCCCCAGGACGGGCAGCUCAGGAUCGCUCUGUGAAACAGGGUCUUGCCACACACACCCAUCGACUCAGCACUUGGCUGGCACACACUGUGUGUCUGCACCUCCCUGGGGACUGGAGGGCCAGCAGGGAGCCCUGCAGACCUUGUCCAGACCUUGACCAGACCGUGGCAGGGCUUGAGUGACAAUCGGCAGAGACGGACAAACAAAAAGAGAAAGGAACUCCAACGUCAGCCCGUCCUGGGGUCUCAUGGAGGACCAGGCUGAAGAAGCUCAAGACACUGACACACUCAGGGGCCUGCACUGGGUUCCCAACAGGGAAGGAACAAGGUUUCCAAGGCUUUCCAAAUCCUGAGACCUCUCAUUGCCCACUCAGAGGGAGGCCAGGAGCUGCGUCUGCAGGUCACAGCCCUUCCGGUGCCACUGGACCCUGGGCACCCUCGUCUGUUACUGUCCUUCCUGAUCACAGCGUGCCCACCGCCUCUCUCAUGCCCGUGAGCAUCCUCUUUACAUAAUUAGAUUUGUAAGUGUUUUUGCUCGCUUUAAAUCAAAACUCUGAUUCCGAGGUAACUGUGGAUUCACAUGCAGUUGUAAGAAAUAACGCGCCCUUUGCCCGCGUCCCCCCAGUGCCAUGUCUUAGGAAGCUGAAGCUGGAAUCACAGCCGGAGCUGAGCUUGUGCAGCCCCCAGCAGCUCGGCAGACCCACCCCGAAGGGCACUCUGCCGUAGCCAGGCCUGCUUCCCUCCCCACUGAGCCUCGUCUGUUGUUUCUGGACUGUUCGUUUAGAGAUGAUGAUAUGCAAACAGAACCUCGCAGCCUGCGGUCUCUUGGAACUGGAGAUCUGCACGCACCAGUGCGCACUCCGAAGCUCGUUUUCCUCGAGGACGUGGCAUCCUCUGGACACAGGCAGUCGGUUCCACUCCCCACCCUGUAAUCCAAAUCUCGGUCCUUUCCCACUUUUGGCUUGAUGAUUGCAGCUGCUGUGAGGCAGGAGAGACGGAUUUUCUCUGGAACGCUGGGUUUUCUCCUCUCCAGGAUGCAUGCGCACAGGGGGAUGGCAGGUGGUGGAGUAGCUCAGAGCCGCACAGACCCAGGAAGGUGCAGAUGACAAGGUCCUCCUCACGCCAUCCCCGGGGGCUUGUCCUGCUGGUAGCAAUACUCUGACGAGUGAGGGCACAGCUCAGCUGUGUUUAAACUUUUCCCUGGUGGCUGAUGAGGCUGGCAUGGCUCCAUGCACUCAAGGGCACUCUGUAGACUUUCCCCUGUAAGAUGGUCACUCACCUCUGGCCCUUUUCUAUUUGAAUUGUCUGAUUCUUUUAUACUGUUGAGUAUGGGACGUUCUUUACAUAUAUUCUAAACCCGAGUCUUUCGUCAGACGUGUGGUUUGCAGAUAUUUUCUCCCAGUCUGUAAUUUGCUUUUUCAACCUCUUAACAUGGUUUACAGAGCAAAAGUUUUUAAGUCCCAAUGAAGUCCAAUUAGCAAUUUUUCCUUUGAUACAGCACCUCGUUAGUGUCAAGACUAAGACCUCUGCCCAGCUCUAAAGCUAAAGAUUGUCCUUUUCCCCUCUAAAAACUGUAGAUCUAAGCUUUCCACCUAAGUCCGUGGUCCAUUUGGAGCAGCUGUUUGUGAGGAGGGGACACGGGUGGUGGCCCAGGUCUGCCUCCUGAGGUCCACCUGUGCCACUUGACGGAAAGGCAGCUUUUCCUCCUUGAAGUGGGUUCACACCUUGGUGAAAAGUCAGCUGGGCAUGGUUUGUGGGAGUCUGCGUUUGUUCUCUGUCCUGUCCCACUGGUCUGUGGGGCUGCCCCUGGCCAGGAUCGCACAGUUUUGAUUGCUGCUGUCACACAGCAAGUCUUGCAACUGGCUGUACCCGUCUCUUCCACUUUACCCUUCUUUUGUAAAUUGUUUUAGCUAUUGGUAGCUUUGCUUUUCCAUAUGAAUUUUAGGAUAACAUUGUCUAUAAUUAGAAGAAAAUCUUGCUGGGGUUUUUAUUGGAAUUGUCUUAAACCUGUAUAUUUAUUGAGGAAGAACUGACAUUUUUACUCUGUUGAGCUUUUUCAAUCCAUGAACAUGGUGUGUCCCUCGUUGAUUUGGAUCUUCUUUGAUCAUGUUCCUCUACAGUGUGAUUUCUAGUAUGUAACUCCUGUAUAUGUUUUGUUAGAUUUAA